AUUGAACGCUGGCGGCAGGCCUAACACAUGCAAGUCGAACGAGUGGCGGACGGGUGAGUAAUGUCUGGGAAACGGCCCGAUGGAGGGGGAUAACUACUGGAAACGGUAGCUAAUACCGCAUACCAUCGGAUGUGCACAGAUGGGAUGAGCUAGUAGGUGGGGUAACGGCUCACCUAGGCGACGAUCCCUAGCGGGUCUGAGAGGAUGACCAGACACACUGGAACUGAGACACGGUCCAGACGCCUACGGGAGGCAGCAUUGGGGAAUAUUGCACAAUGGGCGCAAGCCUGAUGCAGCAAUGCCGUGUGUAUGAAGAAGGCUUUCGGGUUGUAAAGUACUUUCGGCGAGGAGGCGUUACUCGCAGAAGAAGCACCGGCUAACUCCGUGCCAGCCGCCGCGGUAAUUC
This 406-nucleotide ribosomal RNA is filed under the name uncultured bacterium. RNAcentral's name for it is "partial 16S ribosomal RNA". It matches the Rfam family "Bacterial small subunit ribosomal RNA", at positions 30 to 526 of the family's 1533-position model. The record is from RNAcentral.